UGCUCAUAUUGCAUAGUUUUUUUGUGAUUCUGGCUCAUUAUGUGAGUUACUUAUAAGUUAUGCCUACAUAGGAAGAGGACUUCAUUUGAUGAUGGGCAGCUAACAGCUGGCAUUCUCAGUUAUGAAAUAUUAUCAGGAGCAUAUUAUUCCAAAAAUUGCUAAAGAGAAAUGGAAUUGAUCUCAUGAAAAAUGGAGAUUUUGGAAGGAAGUGAAGGGGAAGGAAAUAGACUCAAGAUCACUUUCACGUCAAAAGCAGGCAUCUAAAUUAAAGAAAGGAAGGAGGGCCGGUUUCCUUCAGAUUGUAAAGGAAGGAAAGAAGAAAAUAAAAGGUCCAAGAAACUAUUAGCGUGGAAAGGGAGAGAUUUGCUAGCAUUCCAAACUAUCGCGUUCAGGACUCGUGUUCCCAAGGGUAAGAGGCAAUCUGCCGCAGAAAUAAUAUAUUGCUCAUUCACCCUGAAAACGCUGCCUUAAAGAUCAUAGGUGUAGAAGAUCAAGAGAGACGAGAUUACCUUUUAUUCUGGUUUCUUCCACCACCCGAAGCUGAUACCAAGGAACACGAUCACCUUAAGAAUUAGACCAGUGACAAAUAUCAAUCUUGAAAACAAAACAAAAUUGGAUCGACUCCCAAUUCAGAGAAUAAAAUGAAAAAUUGGGGGUCGAUCCGUCCACCAUCCCCCACCACACCCCCUUCUAUUAGAAAGUUUAUAACACUUAUCUACCCGUCCACCACCUCUCCCCAUACCCGCCACAUUUGGUCAGUUUUCAUAACUCUUGUUACAAGUCAUCUUCCUUAUGGUACAAACAACUUUUAAUACACUAGCACUACAGUAAAUUAUUACUGUACAAUAUUUUAAUAUCUAUUACAAUGGUAAUAUUACAAUCUUGUUCUUACAAUCAUAUAAUACAGUAAUAUUAC
This is a long non-coding RNA of Pocillopora verrucosa, 916 nucleotides long. RefSeq lists it as uncharacterized. The record is from RefSeq and is a predicted model, not a curated record. Lineage: Eukaryota; Metazoa; Cnidaria; Anthozoa; Scleractinia; Pocilloporidae.